UACGUAGGGGGCAAGCGUUAUCCGGAAUUACUGGGUGUAAAGGGUGCGUAGGUGGUAUGGCAAGUCAGAAGUGAAAACCCAGGGCUUAACCCUGGGACUGCUUUUGAAACUGUCAGACUGGAGUGCAGGAGAGGUAAGCGGAAUUCCUAGUGUAGCGGUGAAAUGCGUAGAUAUUAGGAGGAACAUCAGUGGCGAAGGCGGCUUACUGGACUGAAACUGACACUGAGGCACGAAAGCGUGGGGAGCAAACAGG
This 253-nucleotide ribosomal RNA is filed under the name Anaerostipes hadrus ATCC 29173 = JCM 17467. RNAcentral describes it as "Anaerostipes hadrus DSM 3319 partial 16S ribosomal RNA". It matches the Rfam family "Bacterial small subunit ribosomal RNA", at positions 524 to 776 of the family's 1533-position model. The record is from RNAcentral. Lineage: Bacteria; Bacillati; Bacillota; Clostridia; Lachnospirales; Lachnospiraceae.